RNAcentral lists this ribosomal RNA (330 nucleotides) under Fermentozyma sake. RNAcentral's name for it is "[Candida] sake partial large subunit ribosomal RNA". It matches the Rfam family "Eukaryotic large subunit ribosomal RNA", at positions 72 to 410 of the family's 3401-position model. The record is from RNAcentral. Lineage: Eukaryota; Fungi; Ascomycota; Pichiomycetes; Serinales; Debaryomycetaceae.
AUAUGCCCCCGUAGCGGCGAGUGAGCGGCAGAGCUCAGAUUUGAAAUCGUGUUUCGGCACGAGUUGUAGAGUGUAGGCGGGAGUCUCUGUGGAGCGCGGUGUCCAAGUCCCUUGGAACAGGGUGCCUGAGAGGGUGAGAGCCCCGUAGGGUGCUGCGCGAAGCUUUUGAGGCCCUGCUGACGAGUCGAGUUGUUUGGGAAUGCAGCUCCAAGCGGGUGGUAAAUUCCAUCUAAGGCUAAAUAUUGGCGAGAGACCGAUAGCGAACAAGUACUGUGAAGGAAAGAUGAAAAGCACUUUGAAAAGAGAGUGAAACAGCACGUGAAAUUGUUG